UUACAUAUAAUAAAUAAAUAAAUCUUUAAAAAAAAAAGAAAGAAAUUGACAGGUUAAUGUUUAGAAAUCUAAAAUGUCCUUGAUAUUGUUUCUAUAUUUUAGUGAAUUAAUAUUAAAAAUUUGUUGUGAUAAAUUUAGGGUUAAUAUAAAUAUAUAGUUUCAUACACACACAUAUUAGGAAAGACUGUUGUAGCAUUCUCUGGGGAAAGAGCAAGUAGUUGGCUCUAAACUCUCAGUAAUUUAUCUGUAUCAGGUACUGCUACUGUAAUGCUAUACAAUCUAAGCAUUUCACAUUUUAGGUGCUAAAUCCUUUUUAAAUCUCUAACCCUAUAUAUUUGCGAAUCUAACUUAAUAAAAUUCAAUAUUCAUCUGACUGCUUAUAAUUAAACUUCCCAUGAUCCCCUCUUUAAGUUCAGUUAUUUUACUAGUACAACAACUCACAGAACUCAGCAAACACACUUACUGGUUGAUAAUAAAUAGUAUAUUAAAGCAUAGAAAUGAAUAGACCAAUGAGCUAACACAUAGGAGAAGACCUAGAAGCCUUGGCCUCCAGUGGGAGUUUGUGCCUCAUUAAUAGCAUGUGGUAGUUCUAUUCACCUUCCUACACACCUGAAUUAAGUUUGUUUGAAUUUUUAUAUAGAAAAAAAUUUUAAAGAGGCUUCAUUGGCUGUUUAUCAACCUAAACUCCAGCUUCUCUGCUUUUUCGGGCAUGAUUGAUUCUUGUGGCAACCACCCCCCUUCCCCCAUCUUGUGUUAUUUAGCAACUUCACCCAAAUUAUCUUAUUAAUACAGUCUCAGGUGGUUGAAAUGUGCUUGUUAUAAAUUAAAACC
RNAcentral lists this long non-coding RNA (831 nucleotides) under Mus musculus (house mouse). RNAcentral describes it as "long non-coding RNA chr8:107335640-107336471". The record is from RNAcentral. Lineage: Eukaryota; Metazoa; Chordata; Mammalia; Rodentia; Muridae.